UACGUAGGGUGCGAGCGUUGUCCGGAAUUAUUGGGCGUAAAGAGCUUGUAGGCGGUCUGUCGCGUCUGCUGUGAAAAACCUGGGGGCUUAACCCCCGGGCCUGCAGUGGGUACGGGCAGACUAGAGUGUGGUAGGGGGAGACUGGAAUUCCUGGUGUAGCGGUGAAAUGCGCAGAUAUCAGGAGGAACACCGAUGGCGAAGGCAGGUCUCUGGGCCGAUACUGACGCUGGAGGAGCGAAAAGCGUGGGGAGCGAACAGG
This 259-nucleotide ribosomal RNA is filed under the name uncultured bacterium. RNAcentral's name for it is "partial 16S ribosomal RNA". It matches the Rfam family "Bacterial small subunit ribosomal RNA", at positions 524 to 776 of the family's 1533-position model. The record is from RNAcentral.